This 7636-nucleotide long non-coding RNA is filed under the name Lactuca sativa (garden lettuce). RNAcentral describes it as "long non-coding RNA (LSAT_LNC000777)". The record is from RNAcentral. Lineage: Eukaryota; Viridiplantae; Streptophyta; Magnoliopsida; Asterales; Asteraceae.
AAUAAACUAGGUUAUUCUUCCGGAAUGACUAAGUUAUUCAAACCAUCCACAGUCGGUCAUAUGUUGGAAGUAGAUAUGAAUUAAGACUGUCAUGGGUUGGCUUGUAGAGGUCUAAGGUGUUGGACAAAGGGCUACAACACUCAUGAGUGCUCAUAAGUUCUGAGUAUUGGAUUCAACCCGCGCUCAUUGGAAUCACUUCAUGGAUUUUAUCACGAGUGAUCAUGAGACGAUAAUAUCUUAUAUUCUUCAAACCUAGAGAUAUGAGUUGUUACUAUGAGUUGAUAGUACAUUGAUUGCACGAAAACGCAUUUGGUAACUCGGUGCUAUAAAACGUGCCUUUGUGUAUGAUUCAACAAGUAGUAGAACAAGCCAUAUGAGUCGAAGUUUAUCCGUUCCUUUUACCUUCGGGAUAAAAGCGAUAUCUGUGGGCCCCUCGAUGAUUUGAUGAUGACAAAUGGAAGUGCUCGGCCGGGCCAGGACUGAUUUGAUUUGUUCAAUUAGUCAGUCGUCAUAAAUCGGAAAUCGGGAAACAACAAAUGGACAGAGAGAAUGAUUAUAAUCCAUGUCUCAGUCCAUAUGAUAUCUAGAAUGGAGGAAUAUAUGAUCCCUUAUCUAAUGGACAAGUCAUUGACAAAGGUCAGAGUUCAUCUACAAGGUCAGAGUUCGACAGAAGCUUUUGAGAGCUACGAUUGCCAGUUGGUUCCUGAAGUCAUACGCAAUAAUAGUUUUAGACUUAUCCAAGUGGGAGACUGUUGGAUUAAUGUCUAAGUCCAUAACUAUAAUUGGUAAGACUUGACCCGACCCGGCAUGGUCCAUUUGGGUUGCAUACCAUCAUGCACUUGGAUAGACUAUAAUGAGAGAAAUAAGACACUUAUGGUUAUUAAUAUAUUAUAAGUUCUAGUAUAUUAAUAAUAAGAAUAAUAAGAUUAUUUAAUUAGUAUUGAUCAAGAAUUAAUCUAGGAUUAAUUAAGUGAUCAAAAGAAGACUAAUUAAAUAUAUGGGUUGAUUGUGUAAAUCAUCCAUACUUGUAUAGUGGGCUAAUGCUCCAUGGAUAAUCAAGUUGGGCUAAAACCCAUAGGAUGGUCCAUGGAUGCUCCAUGGUGUAUUUGUACCCAUGGAUCCAAGGAAAUGGAAAGCCAUGACAAUUAAGAGUUUACCCUAAUUGUGUAACUAUAUAAGCAUCUUAUUAUUGAGGAAAAAUCGGCCACUAGAGAUAGUGAAGAAAGGGCUAGCCGAUUUUGAUGAGUGUAGAAUUCUCUCAAGUCAUUCUAAGUGUUUUGAUGAUUGUGAUUCCAUUUGAGGUGUCACACUUGGGGCACUAGGCACUCAAGCUUCAUGAAGACUUUCUACACCAAAGAGGUAUGUAUUCUAUCUUGCUAUAGUUAUUGUUUUGUAUGCUAGAUUAGGAUAAUACCUUGGAAGUUCUUAUUUGCAUGUAUAAUAGAGAAAACAUAGAUCCAAGGUAUUUAGGGUUGCAUGUACACUUAGGAAGUGUUAGAAUGCUCAAAACCCAACAGUGGUAUCAGAGCCACGGGUUGUUUUCUGUUAUAUUGAUGCAAAUAUUUUAUUUUCAAAGUUGAAAAAAAAAAAAAAAAAAAACAUGAAGUUUGUCAAAUUUUAAGAUAAUUACUUGUUCUUGUGAAAAACUAAUUAUUUGUAAAAUUUGAAUAAUUUGCUUUAUGAGUUGAAUUAGGUCAAAUUUAAUAAAAGAUAAAAUAAUAUGAUUAUUUUAUUAGUUUUAAAAGUUUGAUCUAAAGAGUUUUAUUUUUUGAAACCUCCAUAAGUUAUGGAUAUGAAAAGGUUUUAAAAAAAAAAUUGAUUCAAAGUUUUUUUGGAGUUACAAAAUUUGGUGUUAAUGUUUUAAAGGAUUCCAUAACUUAAGAAUAAGUUAUGGAUCACCAAAAGUUUUUUGUGUUACCUUGUUUUAUGAGUGAAUUUAGAUUAAUGAAUAAAAUUAUGUGAUAGUUGGUUUUAAUCCAAAUUAAUCUAAGAAUUGAUUCUAAAAUGUGUUUUUGUAACUUGUCCUCAAGUUAUAUGAAAAGUCACAUUUAAGAAUCAUAAAACUCAUAAAAAUUGGCAAAGGUUACAAAAAUGAAGAGUCUAGUUCUAAUUAAAUGGUUUUAUGACUCCAUAACUUGUCCUCAAGUUAUGGAGGACCAAGAGUCUCUUCAUUUAAUAAAAUAAAAUAAAAAAAAAAAAAGUGUAACCUUAAUUAAUUCCAUAAGUUAUAAAAUAAAGAAAAGUUAAUUCUUUUAUUAGUUUAAAGUCUUCCAUAACUUGUCCUCAAGUUAUGGAACUUGAAGAGUUUUUGGAUUAAAACUACUUUAAACACAUAAGUUAUGGAAUUAAUUAGUUUUGAAUAGUUUCAAAACUUGCCCUCAAGUUUUGGAAUUUGUAAAGUUUUCACUUAUGAAUACUUUAAUUCCAAGUUAGCCCUUAGAAUUUUAAAAGUUAAAAUUCAACCCUUAUACUUUAUAAUAUUAUAAGUUAAUAAUAUAUAUAUGUAUAAGAGUAAAGUCAGUCUUACCGCUAGUACGCCUCAUUCACGAAGCCGGUCUAUAAGGUGGGUAUAAGGUUGUUGCCUAUAAAAUGGCAACUUAAUGGGUGUCCACUCUCACCCACCGCUUGCUUGACUGGUGGAGGGUCGUUAGCCGAACGGGUUUGACAGGACUAGAAUUCUCCCUUCAUUAAAAGUAUUAAUGAUAAUACUAAGUAACUAAACUCUUAAUAAUACCCAAUCUUAGUUACUUAGGAAAAAUGUGAAUAAGGUGCUAAUCCAUGAAAUUACACUUUACACUUUGUCUAAGUCGUUAGUGGAGCGUGUGUGGUUAACCGGCACACUAACUUGGACUUAACAAGGUAGGUAAAGGGUGACUUAAUAUUUAUCAUAGUAUCGAUGGAGCGUGUGUGGUUAACCGGCACAUCGAUUGAGGGGUAAUUUAUUAAGGGUACCAAGUGAUUUGCAUGGUUACUUCACACCUUGUUUUGUGAUCCUCGGCAUCCCAGUCACAAAACCUGAAGGGCACACUCGAGAUUGAAACAUGCCUUUGAAAAGUUCAAUGAAUCUCAAAGAUCUAGGAGUUUCAAAACCAAUUAAAACCUAAUAAUACAUUUCGUUUAUCUUGGUGGAAAUUGGUGAAUCGUCAUUCACCUACCUUCAAAUAUUUUAUAGCUUGGAUUACGGCAUACCUCUUCUAAGUUAUAAAAUAGUUUGUUGGGUCCUAGCCUUAAUAUUUCAUAUUGGGUGUCAUAUUAAGGACUUUAAAUCAACUAUCUUGAAUAUCUCCCAAAAGAUGUCUGGUUUAGACACCUAUGAUCUUCCCAAAUCUCUUGAAACAAGGUUUCCUAAUGAAGAUGAUGUCCCAUGGAUAUCAUACUUCUUCACCUCUUCAAAUUAUUCUCCCUAACCCACAAGUUCUUGAAAAGUUUAAGGUCACUCAGGCCCUUUUGGCAAGGCAAGGUCUAGGUGUGGUCACAUCUUGGAGAUGUAGUCACAUAUUGACAAGCCGGGAGAGUUGGGUGUCAAAGUCUUGAGAAAGUUGGUGGUUCAACUACUUUCUAAGUCACAUAGUGAGUUCUUUUGGAACACCUAUGAAAAAGACUAUGACAAGACCCUUAAUGAUCUUAUCUAUUUGUUAAGAUCAACUUCCUAAAACUUUAUGGACAUUGACAAUGAUGACAUUGGAUAUCCAGUAAAGCAUUCUCUUCCCAAUGGAAAGGGAUCGGCUAUAGUCAACUCGGUUGACCAAAUGGUAAAGAGAAAAGCUAAGUCUGUGAUAGUCCUGUGUACCAUUAUCAAAGGGUCCAUAUGUUUGUAUUGCCAAAGAAAGGGCAUUGGUUGCGAAGCUGCCAAAUUUACCUAAGGAUGUUAAAGUCAAUAAGUUUGACUCUACUUCAGGUAAAAUCCACUAUCUAACUCUGUUAAGUUUCUAUUCUGAGAUUCUUGAUACAUGAUGUGACCGGGUCGCAUGGUGAUGGUUUAAGAAUCAAAGGAAAGUGAAGAAACUUAAAGGAAGAAUAUGCUGAAUCUGAUCGCAUAGAUGGAUUUCUAUCGCAUAGUUUGAAAAAUCGGAUUCUUGAGCUACUUCUUAGGAGUUAUGAGAUAUUGCUUAGGAAUAGAUAACAACAAGUUUUCAUAUGGAUUGUAAGGAUAGUUUUUCCGCAAAGUUUUAAAAUAAAAGGAAAUUUUUGAUUUUAUUUAUUUUAAAAUAUCCUUACAAUGGCAUCUGUGGAAAUUUUUGUUGCUUAUAAGAUUCCAUUAGUAGCAAGAGUGGAAGUAUGAAAUUGAUUCUUUCAUUUGUGGUAAUGUCUAAAUUUACCAAAUAAGGAAAGAUUCUCAUCACCCAAGUUUCAAUUGGACCGGAACUUGGAAUCAUGCAAGUUGUAUAGCAUGAUGAAUGAGAACUUUCAAGUUUUGGAAAAUUAAGACUAAUUACUUGUUCACAUGGAUGUGUGAGUCAAGUAAAGGACUUAGGGAUCGAGUACACAUUCUUGUGCACUGAUUAAGUCCACCACUAAAGAUCGAUAAGAAGAAUCAAAUAAGGCAGAAGGAUAAAAGUUUCUCAAAUCUGAAAAGAUGGGAGAGUACUUUAGUAUCAGUUUUGUGAUCAUCUUAAUGAUUAAGAAACCAUAUCAAAAUUAGUUCUCUAAGGAAAUCUUAGUGCAUUCUUAUGACUAAGAAGAGGAACUUGAAUUGUUGAAAUGGUUAAAUCAAGAAGAUGAGUCAUACUUCGUUCCAAUACAAGUCUUAGAGUCAUACUCCAAGAUUGUCAUUUGAGUGACAUGUCUUAAAGAAGGUUUAAAACACUUGUCAAAUGUAAGAGUAAAAGUUUUCUACUCUUGUACAUUUGAAAUUGGUAAGUUGUGAUGUUUUGGAUAAAACAAAGACCAACUUAGGCCAAUUGGGUAAAGUGUUUUUCUUGAUUAGAAUCCGCACUAUCUCUUGGAUGUUUGACAAGGGAGUCUUAUAUGUCAAGAGGACAGUGGGAGUCUUAAAGGUCUUGAAAGUCUCAAGAACUAAUCAAGAAUAAAACCUGAAGUUCUUCACUAGCACACGACUUGAGGUUUAUAACCUAUCGUGUUGACAUAUUCUGUGCCCAUUCCAGUUAAAGUUGGCUUUGCAUAUGAGUUCUUAGAGUUCUCAAUUUGUUGCACAACAACUUGGAAGCAAUGGCAGGCCCUUGAGCUGCCAGGUGGCAAGAAAUUAAGAUUGAGUUCAGUCCAUAUGAGUUUGGAUUUGUCAUUAUCCUUGUCUUGUGACUAUGGUUUUGACAAUUCACAUGGAUAAGAACACAUACACCAUUAAAUCUAAGUGUCAUAAGGUUUCUCUCCGAUUCAUGAAAAUGAUGGUGAGGAAACACUUUCACUAAGUAGAUUUUAGCUAGAUAGCAAUUGUGAUAUUUGCAUUCUCAAAGUCGUUAGUGGAGCGUGUGUGGUUUACCGGCACACUAACCUGGACUUGUGAGAAGUGGCAAAAAGGUCUAACCAUUAUGAUUACGGCAUCCCUCUUCAUAAUUGUUUAGACACACAAGUGUGCUAUCUAAGGGAAGGUGUAUGAUUUUGAUAAAGUUUUAUCAAAACAAUCUAGUAUCAGAAAUCUGAACUUUGGUAAGAAAGUCAAUGAAGUAUUGAUUUCUAGAAGUUCAGCUGAUUUCUGAGUACAUGUCAAAGCUAGUGGGAGCAUAAGUGUUAUGCUAAUAAUCAUCAUGUUAGUGGGAGCAUGAUAAUUAUGAUAAAGGUUGCAAGUUAGCAAUGUUAAUUAUAGAAAACAAAAGGUCUCAAUUGGGAAAAAGUUGUUUUGCUAUAAUUAAGGGAGAGGAUAUUAUACUUCAUCUCAAAUCUAAAAGCUUAGAUUGAGGUUUUAAUCGCAUUUAGUCAAGAAUAUAUAUGAAUUUCAUGUUGGAAUGGCUCAACAUAAGGAAAUUCUGUAUAUGGGUCCAUUAUUUGCGUUCUAAAAUUCGAUUAUGAUUACGGCAUCCCUUUUCAUAAUCUGAAUUAUGAGAACUUGGCAAAUAGAAAUGGAAAUAUUAUAGCAAAAGAUUGGUUUAGUCUUUAUGUGAGACAUCAUGAAUCGUGUCCCAUAUGCUUCGGAUAUAGGAUCGAUUACAUGUGUUAUAUUCAUCCUUUCUAAAAUUUUCCAAAUGCCUGGGGCAUUAAGAAGGGAAAAGGUCUAGAAUUGGAUAUGACUAAAAUGAUUAAGCAAUUGUCGAGGACAAUCUAAGGUUUACCAAAGAUUGGUUGCUCAAGGAUAGUUGGAAGUAUACUGUUAAUAUUGGAAGGACCAUAUUGACAUAGUCUGACAAGAGGCAACUCCUGUUCAGAAGUGAUAGUCAAAAUGGAAUAUAGAAAUGUUUCAAAGUUAGAAAGUAUUAAAGUAUUCAAUCUGUAAAAUUAGGAAACUUAAUGCAAGAAGGAUGUUUUUCAAGGAGUUGAUCUCCUUUGUAAUACUCUGUAAUGAUUUUUGCCAAGUCUUUGUGAAUUUGUGCAUAAUCAUUAUAAGAGGAUCAAUGCAUAUAAGUUUAGAAUCUAACCGAUUUUAGUAAAUGGCAUGAAUUUGGAAUUCUUGCAUUUGCAGUAAGGAAUUGGGACUAUGAAAUGAGAAUCAUUGGAGUUAUGUUCAAUUGAUCUAUUUCACAAAGUAAAGAUCAUAGACAAACAUAGUAUGCAUACUUGGUGUAUGGCAUGACUAGUGUUUAGAAAACAUAGUGUACAUGCUUGGAGCAUGGGACAACUAUUGUUUUAAAUUCAAGAAUAAAGUUGAUAGCUGAAACAGUAUACAAUGAAUAAUGUGUAAUCAUAUGGUGAUAAAUAAAAGGUGUUUUAUUUAUGUUCAUAGGUUUUGAUACCAUAUUGGAUUCAAUUAUUAUUGUGUUUCACUUUGCAUGUUUUGACUUCCAGAAUAACUAGGUCAUUGUUCUGAUUGACUAAGUUAUUCAAACCAUCCACAGUCGGUCAUAUGUUGGAAGUAGAUAUGAAUCAAGACUGUCAUGGGUUGGGUUUGUAGAGGUCUAAGAUGUUGGACAAGGUUGUGCUACAACACUCAUGAGUGCUCAUAAAUUCUGAGUAUUGGAUUCAACCUGCGCUCAUUGGAAUCACUUCAUGGAUUUUAUCACGAGUGAUCAUGAGACGAUAAUAUCUUAUAUUCUUCAAACCUAGAGAUAUGAGUUGUUACUAUGAGUUGGUUGUACAUUGAUUGCACGAAAAUGCAUUCGGUAACUCGGUGUUAUAAAACGUGCCUUUGUGUAUGAUUUAACAAGUAGUAGAACAAGCCAUAUGAGUCGAAGUUUAUCCAUUCCUUUUACCUUUGGGAUAAAAGCGAUAUCUGUGGGCCCCUUGAUGAUUUAAUGAUGACACAUGUGAGUGCUUGGCCAAGCCAGGACUGAUUUGAUUUGUUCAGUCAGUCAGUCGUCAUGAAUCGGAAAUCGGGAAAAAACAAAUGGACAGAGAGAAUGAUUAUAAUCCAUGUCUCAGUCCAUAUGAUAUCUAGAAUGGAGGAAUAUAUGAUCCCUUAUCUAAUGGACAAGUUUGUUGAAAAAGAUCAGAGUUCGACAGCGGCUUUAAGAGCUACGAUUGCCAGUUAGGUUUUUGAAGUCAUACUCAAUAGUAGUUUUAGACUUAUCCAAGUGGGAGACUGUUG